RNAcentral lists this ribosomal RNA (497 nucleotides) under uncultured Flavobacteriaceae bacterium. RNAcentral describes it as "bacterial SSU rRNA". It matches the Rfam family "Bacterial small subunit ribosomal RNA", at positions 11 to 534 of the family's 1533-position model. Lineage: Bacteria; Pseudomonadati; Bacteroidota; Flavobacteriia; Flavobacteriales; Flavobacteriaceae. The record is from RNAcentral.
GUUUGAUCCUGGCUCAGAACGAACGCUGGCGGCAGGCUUAACACAUGCAAGUCGAACGCUCACUUCGGUGAGAGUGGCAGACGGGUGAGUAACGCGUGGGAAUAUACCUAUCAGUACGGAACAACAGUUGGAAACGACUGCUAAUACCGUAUACGCCCUUCGGGGGAAAGAUUCAUCGCCGAUAGAUUAGCCCGCGUUAGAUUAGCUAGUUGGUGGGGUAAAGGCCUACCAAGGCGACGAUCUAUAGCUGGUCUGAGAGGAUGAUCAGCCACACUGGGACCGAGACACGGACCAGACUCCUACGGGAGGCAGCAGUGAGGAAUAUUGGGCAAUGGAGGCAACUCUGACCCAGCCAUGCCGCGUGCAGGAAGGCUGCCCUAUGGGUUGUAAACUGCUUUUAUACAGGAAGAAACAUCUCUACGUGUAGAGACUUGACGGUACUGUAAGAAUAAGGAUCGGCUAACUCCGUGCCAGCAGCCGCGGUAAUAAGGGCGAAU